RNAcentral lists this transfer RNA (74 nucleotides) under Candidatus Nomurabacteria bacterium. Its description in RNAcentral is "tRNA-Ile". It matches the Rfam family "tRNA". Rfam says of the family: Transfer RNA (tRNA) molecules are approximately 80 nucleotides in length. Lineage: Bacteria; Candidatus Nomuraibacteriota. RNAcentral also lists the same sequence under 1 other name. The record is from RNAcentral.
GCUUCCAUAGCUCAGUUGGUUAGAGCACACGGCUUAUAUCCGUGGGGUCCUUGGUUCAAGUCCAAGUGGAAGCA